Molecule: ribosomal RNA, 700 nt
Filed under: Nannaria ohionis
Lineage: Eukaryota; Metazoa; Arthropoda; Diplopoda; Polydesmida; Xystodesmidae
Description: partial large subunit ribosomal RNA
Rfam family: Archaeal large subunit ribosomal RNA (bases 350-503)
Source: RNAcentral
GUUAUGAAAUAUUAUUCAAGUUAUUUUGUAUCUGGUUCUCUGAGAGAUUUGAUUGGUUGCAGUAUUGUUAGGUCGGUGAGCAGGGAUUAGCUUGCUUAUCGUUUGUAUGCGUUAAUAGGGUAAUUUUGUUUAUGGAGUUGAUAGUGCUUAUUUUUAAGGAGUUAUUUUUGGACAGAGGUUUUGGAUUAUUAUUUUGUCGUUAUGUAAUUAUUAGGGUUACUUUAUUAACUUUUUUUGGUGUAAUAAUGAUUAUAUUAGUAAUAUUUUAUUUAUUUUGGCAAGGUUUUAUGGAAGAGUGAUAAUUGGUCUUUAAUUUUUGAUUAGAAUAGAUGAACUCGGCAAAGUUAAUUCUUGACUGUUUAGCAAAAACAUUGUUUUUUGUAGGAUUAAAAAAUAAGUUCUGUCCACUGCUAUUAGGUGAAGGGCUGCAGUAUUUUGACUGUAUGAAGGUAGCAUAAUCAUUAGCUUUUUAAUUAGGGGCUGGUAUGAAGGUGAAACAAGGAUUGUCUAUAUUUGUUCUAUUUAUUGAAUUUUAUGUUUGUGUGAAAAAUCAUGAUUGAAUUAGAGGGACAAGAAGACCCUAAUAAGUUUUAUUUUUUUAUCUUAUGAUAGUAUAGGAAUUAUUUAUUUGACUGGAGUAGAGGGGUUUAGCUGGGGCGGCUGUUUAUUUAACAUAAGCAAAUUUUUAACUUUAUUUGGC